This 190-nucleotide non-coding RNA is filed under the name Limisphaerales bacterium. RNAcentral's name for it is "Verrucomicrobia subdivision 3 bacterium (sediment metagenome) 6S RNA". It matches the Rfam family "6S / SsrS RNA". From Rfam's summary of the family: E. coli 6S RNA was the first non coding RNA to be sequenced, but its function was unknown until recently. The record is from RNAcentral. Lineage: Bacteria; Pseudomonadati; Verrucomicrobiota; Verrucomicrobiia; Limisphaerales.
UUAACCCUGCCCGGUGCGUGAUAAGGAACAAAGUCCUUGAACCGUAAAACAAACGUUGCGGAGCCUCUAUUUCGGUGUCUGCCGGCAAGCCUGCGCCUCGUGUCCAGGUAGCCGAAGGACGCAGAUCGGGUUCCACCUGUUCUCGAGCAGUUCAAAGGAACUGUUUUCACACGGCUGCGGCGGGGUUUUU